UUUGGAGGCUUUGGAUUUGACAAACUCCCUGUACUCUUCGAACCGCGUCAGAAUCUUGGGGCUAUUGUGGAUCUUGAGGAUCCGAUGGAUUUCAGGGGAUUUGGUAGCAGAGUUCCACCCUGCUUUGAAUAUAAUCCGAACGAUGUUGUUCCCGGAAUCGCCGUCUCGGAGCUCGGACACGGCGUGCUUGACCGCUAAAUGCUGCUCGAGUAUGUGCGGCUUCUGGAGGACCUCGCCGCAGACAGUGCAAGGGAAGAUGUCGUUUCGAAGCGGGAAUCGGUCGGCGGAGGAGAUGUCGGAUUCCGGCGACGCGCUGAUCGGAUGAGGCGGAUGAUGACUGAUUUUGGCGGGGAAAACGGCAUCGUUUUCGAUGGCGAUUAAUAAUGAGGAUUUCUGAGAAGAUCUGGCGGAGGUCUGAGCAGGGGAAAUCGGCGGCGGAAGGGGAGGCGGAAGGGAGUUAUAAAUCGAUUUACAGGUAAAAACUCGCUUAAUGUAUGACCAAGAGGAAGAGAGUAGAGGGGAGGAUCGUCUCCGGCGAGACGCUGCCGGAGGAGAAUGGUCGUCCUUGUAGUCGUCGUCGGAUGAUGAUGAUUUGCGUUUUCUUGUGGGGUGGGAAGCUGAUUGGUCACGGGAGAGGAAGACGAAGCAGCCGAGGUGGAGGAGGAUGAGGAAGAGGGAAA
Molecule: long non-coding RNA, 680 nt
Filed under: Linum usitatissimum (flax)
Lineage: Eukaryota; Viridiplantae; Streptophyta; Magnoliopsida; Malpighiales; Linaceae
Description: long non-coding RNA (LUSI_LNC001992)
Source: RNAcentral